UAGCAUAUCAAUAAGCGGAGGAAAAGAAACCAACAGGGAUUGCCCUAGUAACGGCGAGUGAAGCGGCAACAGCUCAAAUUUGAAAUCUGGCUCUUUCAGGGCCCGAGUUGUACUUUGUAGAGGGUGCUUUGGCGUCGGCUGCGGUCUAAGUUCCUUGGAACAGGACGUCACAGAGGGUGAGAAUCCCGUAUGUGGCCGCGCGUCUUCGCCGUGUAAAGCCCCUUCGACGAGUCGAGUUGUUUGGGAAUGCAGCUCUAAAUGGGAGGUAAAUUUCUUCUAAAGCUAAAUACUGGCCAGAGACCGAUAGCGCACAAGUAGAGUGAUCGAAAGAUGAAAAGCACUUUGGAAAGAGAGUCAAAAAGCACGUGAAAUUGUUGAAAGGGAAGCGCUUGCAGCCAGACUUGCUCGCAGUUGCUCAUCCGGGCUCUCGCCCGGUGCACUCUUCUGCGGGCAGGCCAGCAUCAGUUCAGGCGGCCGGACAAAGACCUCUGUCACGUAUCUUCCUUCGGGAUGACCUUAUAGGGGAGGUGUAAUGCGGCCAGCCUGGAUUGAGGCCCGCGCAUCUGCUAGGAUGCUGGCGUAAUGGCUGUAAGCGGCCCGUCUUGAAACACGGACCAAGGAGUCUAACAUCUAUGCGAGUGUUUGGGUGUCAAGCCCGGGCGCGCAAUGAAAGUGAACGGAGGUGGGACCCCCUCGGGGCGCACCAUCGACCGAUCCUGAUGUCUUCGGAUGGAUUUGAGUAAGAGCAUAGCUGUUGGGACCCGAAAGAUGGUGAACUAUGCCUGAAUAGGGUGAAGCCAGAGGAAACUCUGGUGGAGGCUCGCAGCGGUUCUGACGUGCAAAUCGAUCGUCAAAUUUGGGCAUAGGGGCGAAAGACUAAUCGAACUAUCUAGUAGCUGG
Molecule: ribosomal RNA, 900 nt
Filed under: Neooccultibambusa sp. LL-2023a
Lineage: Eukaryota; Fungi; Ascomycota; Dothideomycetes; Pleosporales; Occultibambusaceae
Description: partial large subunit ribosomal RNA
Rfam family: Eukaryotic large subunit ribosomal RNA
Source: RNAcentral